This 2919-nucleotide ribosomal RNA is filed under the name Bacillus thuringiensis. RNAcentral's name for it is "bacterial LSU rRNA". It matches the Rfam family "Bacterial large subunit ribosomal RNA". The record is from RNAcentral. Lineage: Bacteria; Bacillati; Bacillota; Bacilli; Caryophanales; Bacillaceae.
UAAGUUAGAAAGGGCGCACGGUGGAUGCCCUGACACUAGGAGUCGAUGAAGGACGGGACUAACGCCGAUAUGCUUCGGGGAGCUGUAAGUAAGCUUUGAUCCGAAGAUUUCCGAAUGGGGAAACCCACCAUACGUAAUGGUAUGGUAUCCUUAUCUGAAUACAUAGGGUAAGGAAGACAGACCCAGGGAACUGAAACAUCUAAGUACCUGGAGGAAGAGAAAGCAAAUGCGAUUUCCUGAGUAGCGGCGAGCGAAACGGAACAUAGCCCAAACCAAGAGGCUUGCCUCUUGGGGUUGUAGGACAUUCUAUACGGAGUUACAAAGGAACGAGGUAGACGAAGCGACCUGGAAAGGUCCGUCGUAGAGGGUAACAACCCCGUAGUCGAAACUUCGUUCUCUCUUGAAUGUAUCCUGAGUACGGCGGAACACGUGAAAUUCCGUCGGAAUCUGGGAGGACCAUCUCCCAAGGCUAAAUACUCCCUAGUGAUCGAUAGUGAACCAGUACCGUGAGGGAAAGGUGAAAAGCACCCCGGAAGGGGAGUGAAAGAGAUCCUGAAACCGUGUGCCUACAAAUAGUCAGAGCCCGUUAACGGGUGAUGGCGUGCCUUUUGUAGAAUGAACCGGCGAGUUACGAUCCCGUGCGAGGUUAAGCUGAAGAGGCGGAGCCGCAGCGAAAGCGAGUCUGAAUAGGGCGUUUAGUACGUGGUCGUAGACCCGAAACCAGGUGAUCUACCCAUGUCCAGGGUGGAGUUCAGGUAACACUGAAUGGAGGCCCGAACCCACGCACGUUGAAAAGUGCGGGGAUGAGGUGUGGGUAGCGGAGAAAUUCCAAUCGAACCUGGAGAUAGCUGGUUCUCCCCGAAAUAGCUUUAGGGCUAGCCUUAAGUGUAAGAGUCUUGGAGGUAGAGCACUGAUUGGACUAGGGGUCCUCAUCGGAUUACCGAAUUCAGUCAAACUCCGAAUGCCAAUGACUUAUCCUUAGGAGUCAGACUGCGAGUGAUAAGAUCCGUAGUCAAAAGGGAAACAGCCCAGACCGCCAGCUAAGGUCCCAAAGUGUGUAUUAAGUGGAAAAGGAUGUGGAGUUGCUUAGACAACUAGGAUGUUGGCUUAGAAGCAGCCACCAUUUAAAGAGUGCGUAAUAGCUCACUAGUCGAGUGACUCUGCGCCGAAAAUGUACCGGGGCUAAAUACACCACCGAAGCUGCGGAUUGAUACCGAAUGGUAUCAGUGGUAGGGGAGCGUUCUAAGGACAGUGAAGUCAGACCGGAAGGACUGGUGGAGUGCUUAGAAGUGAGAAUGCCGGUAUGAGUAGCGAAAGACGGGUGAGAAUCCCGUCCACCGAAUGCCUAAGGUUUCCUGAGGAAGGCUCGUCCGCUCAGGGUUAGUCAGGACCUAAGCCGAGGCCGACAGGCGUAGGCGAUGGACAACAGGUUGAUAUUCCUGUACCACCUCUUUAUCGUUUGAGCAAUGGAGGGACGCAGAAGGAUAGAAGAAGCGUGCGAUUGGUUGUGCACGUCCAAGCAGUUAGGCUGAUAAGUAGGCAAAUCCGCUUAUCGUGAAGGCUGAGCUGUGAUGGGGAAGCUCCUUAUGGAGCGAAGUCUUUGAUUCCCCGCUGCCAAGAAAAGCUUCUAGCGAGAUAAAAGGUGCCUGUACCGCAAACCGACACAGGUAGGCGAGGAGAGAAUCCUAAGGUGUGCGAGAGAACUCUGGUUAAGGAACUCGGCAAAAUGACCCCGUAACUUCGGGAGAAGGGGUGCUUUCUUAACGGAAAGCCGCAGUGAAUAGGCCCAAGCGACUGUUUAGCAAAAACACAGCUCUCUGCGAAGCCGUAAGGCGAAGUAUAGGGGGUGACACCUGCCCGGUGCUGGAAGGUUAAGGAGAGGGGUUAGCGUAAGCGAAGCUCUGAACUGAAGCCCCAGUAAACGGCGGCCGUAACUAUAACGGUCCUAAGGUAGCGAAAUUCCUUGUCGGGUAAGUUCCGACCCGCACGAAAGGUGUAACGAUUUGGGCACUGUCUCAACCAGAGACUCGGUGAAAUUAUAGUACCUGUGAAGAUGCAGGUUACCCGCGACAGGACGGAAAGACCCCGUGGAGCUUUACUGUAGCCUGAUAUUGAAUUUUGGUACAGUUUGUACAGGAUAGGCGGGAGCCUUUGAAACCGGAGCGCUAGCUUCGGUGGAGGCGCUGGUGGGAUACCGCCCUGACUGUAUUGAAAUUCUAACCUACGGGUCUUAUCGACCCGGGAGACAGUGUCAGGUGGGCAGUUUGACUGGGGCGGUCGCCUCCUAAAGUGUAACGGAGGCGCCCAAAGGUUCCCUCAGAAUGGUUGGAAAUCAUUCGUAGAGUGCAAAGGCAUAAGGGAGCUUGACUGCGAGACCUACAAGUCGAGCAGGGACGAAAGUCGGGCUUAGUGAUCCGGUGGUUCCGCAUGGAAGGGCCAUCGCUCAACGGAUAAAAGCUACCCCGGGGAUAACAGGCUUAUCUCCCCCAAGAGUCCACAUCGACGGGGAGGUUUGGCACCUCGAUGUCGGCUCAUCGCAUCCUGGGGCUGUAGUCGGUCCCAAGGGUUGGGCUGUUCGCCCAUUAAAGCGGUACGCGAGCUGGGUUCAGAACGUCGUGAGACAGUUCGGUCCCUAUCCGUCGUGGGCGUAGGAAAUUUGAGAGGAGCUGUCCUUAGUACGAGAGGACCGGGAUGGACGCACCGCUGGUGUACCAGUUGUUCUGCCAAGGGCAUAGCUGGGUAGCUAUGUGCGGAAGGGAUAAGUGCUGAAAGCAUCUAAGCAUGAAGCCCCCCUCAAGAUGAGAUUUCCCAUAGCGUAAGCUAGUAAGAUCCCUGAAAGAUGAUCAGGUUGAUAGGUUCGAGGUGGAAGCAUGGUGACAUGUGGAGCUGACGAAUACUAAUAGAUCGAGGACUUAACCA